UUAGAGUUUUCUGGAUACUUA
RNAcentral lists this microRNA (21 nucleotides) under Arabidopsis thaliana (thale cress). RNAcentral's name for it is "ath-miR781a". Its record names the gene ath-miR781a. RNAcentral also lists the same sequence under 1 other name. The record is from miRBase by way of RNAcentral. Lineage: Eukaryota; Viridiplantae; Streptophyta; Magnoliopsida; Brassicales; Brassicaceae.